GCAGUCGGGCGGUUCGUCGCGGGCCGGAGUGACACUUCACUUCGGCGUGAGGAAAGUCCGGGCAACACAGAGCACCAUACUUCCUAACGGGAAGCCGCGGGUAACCGCAGAGACAACGUGACAGAAAAUAACCGCCCCCAUUGAAAGGCGGGGGAGCUACCCCGAAAGGGGAAGCGUCAUCACCCCCCGGGGCAAGGGUGAAAAGGUGGGGCAAGAGCCCACCGGAUGCCAUCGUGAGAUGGUGUGCCGCACGUCUUAUGGGUUGCAAGGUCAAGUAUACCGGCAUCUAAGGGCUGCUCGUCCGCUGCCGGGGGGUAGACUGCUUUAGCCGCGCUGGCAACACACGGCAUAGAUAAAUGACGAACCGGCAUCGGCCGAUCGCCCCCUGCGGGGGGAAGCAGAAGCGAUGCCGACAGAACCCGGCUUAUAGCCCGGCUGCUUUU
Molecule: RNase P RNA, 443 nt
Filed under: Muribaculaceae bacterium
Lineage: Bacteria; Pseudomonadati; Bacteroidota; Bacteroidia; Bacteroidales; Muribaculaceae
Description: RNase P RNA component class A
Rfam family: Bacterial RNase P class A
About the family: Ribonuclease P (RNase P) is a ubiquitous endoribonuclease, found in archaea, bacteria and eukarya as well as chloroplasts and mitochondria. Its best characterised activity is the generation of mature 5'-ends of tRNAs by cleaving the 5'-leader elements of precursor-tRNAs. Cellular RNase Ps are ribonucleoproteins.
Source: RNAcentral